UGUUCCCCUUGGUGGCCAA
This 19-nucleotide unclassified non-coding RNA is filed under the name Mus musculus (house mouse). RNAcentral's name for it is "oocyte_clustered_small_RNA12234". Lineage: Eukaryota; Metazoa; Chordata; Mammalia; Rodentia; Muridae. The record is from RNAcentral.